This 21-nucleotide microRNA is filed under the name Drosophila melanogaster (fruit fly). RNAcentral's name for it is "dme-miR-4954-3p". Lineage: Eukaryota; Metazoa; Arthropoda; Insecta; Diptera; Drosophilidae. The record is from miRBase by way of RNAcentral.
UCGAUCGCGGUUCGAGUGCUC